This 90-nucleotide transfer RNA is filed under the name Candidatus Methylomirabilota bacterium. RNAcentral describes it as "candidate division NC10 bacterium (sediment metagenome) tRNA-Ser". It matches the Rfam family "tRNA". Rfam says of the family: Transfer RNA (tRNA) molecules are approximately 80 nucleotides in length. Their secondary structure includes four short double-helical elements and three loops (D, anti-codon, and T loops). The record is from RNAcentral. Lineage: Bacteria; Methylomirabilota (SeqCode).
GGAGAGGUGUCCGAGCGGCCGAAGGAGCACGCCUGGAGAGCGUGUAUGGGGGAAACCCCAUCCCGGGUUCGAAUCCCGGCCUCUCCGCCA